RNAcentral lists this non-coding RNA (100 nucleotides) under Syntrophobacter sp. SbD1. Its description in RNAcentral is "TPP". It matches the Rfam family "TPP riboswitch aptamer (THI element)". From Rfam's summary of the family: Vitamin B(1) in its active form thiamin pyrophosphate (TPP) is an essential coenzyme that is synthesised by coupling of pyrimidine and thiazole moieties in bacteria. The previously detected thiamin-regulatory element, thi box was extended, resulting in a new, highly conserved RNA secondary structure, the THI element, which is widely distributed in eubacteria and also occurs in some archaea. Lineage: Bacteria; Pseudomonadati; Thermodesulfobacteriota; Syntrophobacteria; Syntrophobacterales; Syntrophobacteraceae. The record is from RNAcentral.
AAUAUGGCCGGGGGGUGCUCCCGUUGGACGGGCGCUGAGACUAUACCCUUGGAACCUGACCCAGUUAAUGCUGGCGGAGGAAUCGGCUAAAGUGGUUUUC